UUUUUAUUGAGAGUUUGAUCCUGGCUCAGGACGAACGCUGGCGGCGUGCUUAACACAUGCAAGUCGAGCGAUGAAGUUCCUUCGGGAA
RNAcentral lists this ribosomal RNA (88 nucleotides) under Clostridium beijerinckii. RNAcentral describes it as "partial 16S ribosomal RNA". It matches the Rfam family "Bacterial small subunit ribosomal RNA", at positions 1 to 86 of the family's 1533-position model. Lineage: Bacteria; Bacillati; Bacillota; Clostridia; Eubacteriales; Clostridiaceae. The record is from RNAcentral.